Molecule: ribosomal RNA, 484 nt
Filed under: uncultured bacterium
Lineage: Bacteria
Description: partial 16S ribosomal RNA
Rfam family: Bacterial small subunit ribosomal RNA
Source: RNAcentral
AUUGAACGCUGGCGGCAGGCCUAACACAUACAAGUCGAGCGGAUGAAGGGAGCUUGCUCCUGGAUUCAGCGGCGGACGGGUGAGUAAUGCCUAGGAAUCUGCCUGGUAGUGGGGGAUAACGUCCGGAAACGGGCGCUAAUACCGCAUACGUCCUGAGGGCGAACGUGGGGGAUCUUCGGACCUCACGCUAUCAGAUGAGCCUAGGUCGGAUUAGCUAGUUGGUGGGGUAAAGGCCUACCAAGGCGACGAUCCGUAACUGGUCUGAGAGGAUGAUCAGUCACACUGGAACUGAGACACGGUCCAGACUCCUACGGGAGGCAGCAGUGGGGAAUAUUGGACAAUGGGCGAAAGCCUGAUCCAGCCAUGCCGCGUGUGUGAAGAAGGUCUUCGGAUUGUAAAGCACUUUAAGUUGGGAGGAAGGGCAGUAAGUUAAUACCUUGCUGUUUUGACGUUACCAACAGAAUAAGCACCGGCUAACUUCGUG